RNAcentral lists this unclassified non-coding RNA (295 nucleotides) under Hevea brasiliensis (rubber tree). The record is from RNAcentral. Lineage: Eukaryota; Viridiplantae; Streptophyta; Magnoliopsida; Malpighiales; Euphorbiaceae.
CCAUAUCUAAAAUUGAUAUUAAAUAGCCUAUAAGUAGGCAUUACAAAAUAACCAACUAACCAAUAACUCCUAUAAAAUAGAUAGCAAUUAACUCACUAACAUUCAAGUAAACUAAAUACUAAAAAUUAGGGGAAAAUCACAAAGCAUUAAUCAAGAAUUUUAACAAACAAAAAUAUCUCUAACAAUUAAAAGUUACUAUUAAUACCCUCCCUUAAACUGACAUCUGCAGAAAUCAGUUUAGGAAUUAGUUCUAACAACUCUAGCUAAGCCAGCUCUUGAGCAACUUCCAUUGAAG